Molecule: small nucleolar RNA, 127 nt
Filed under: Chinchilla lanigera (long-tailed chinchilla)
Lineage: Eukaryota; Metazoa; Chordata; Mammalia; Rodentia; Chinchillidae
Description: Small nucleolar RNA SNORA40 (ENSCLAG00000018665.1)
Rfam family: Small nucleolar RNA SNORA40
About the family: The snoRNA ACA 40 belongs to the H/ACA family of snoRNAs and guides the pseudouridylation of 28S rRNA subunit at position U4565. NB This family has a high threshold value to exclude a large number of closely related sequences that do not appear to have conserved H and ACA boxes, and may be pseudogenes.
Source: Rfam by way of RNAcentral
GGCACUUGUGUGCUUUUUUCUUAACUUGUAGACUAAGGCUUAAUGUACAGGUACAGAAAUAAAUCCUCUUUUGCAACCCAGAACUCAUUAUUCAGUAUGAGUUUUGAUAAUUAUAAGAAAGAAUAUU